GUUGUUGUGGCCGAGUGGUUAAGGCGAUGGACGACAAAUCUUUUGGGAUCUUCACGCGCAGGUUCGAAUCCUGCCGACAUCG
RNAcentral lists this transfer RNA (82 nucleotides) under Dreissena polymorpha. It matches the Rfam family "tRNA". From Rfam's summary of the family: Transfer RNA (tRNA) molecules are approximately 80 nucleotides in length. Their secondary structure includes four short double-helical elements and three loops (D, anti-codon, and T loops). The record is from Rfam by way of RNAcentral. Lineage: Eukaryota; Metazoa; Mollusca; Bivalvia; Myida; Dreissenidae.